GAUGAACGCUGGCGGCGUGCCUAAUACAUGCAAGUCGAGCGGAGAAUUUAGCAAUAGAUUCUUAGCGGCGAACGGGUGAGUAACGCGUUGGUGACCUGCCUCGAAGUUUGGGAUAACAGUUCGAAAGGACUGCUAAUACCGGAUGUGAUCACGAAGAUUAGAGGCUUUGUGAUUAAAGGAGAAAUUCGCUUCGAGAGGGGCCUGCGUCCCAUCAGCUAGUUGGUAAGGUAAAGGCUUACCAAGGCGAUGACGGGUAGGGGACCUGAGAGGGUGGCCCCCCACAAUGGAACUGAAACACGGUCCAUACACCUACGGGUGGCAGCAGUAGGGAAUAUUGCAUAAUGGGCGAAAGCCUGAUGCAGCAACGCCGCGUGUGCGAUGAAGGCCUUGGGUCGUAAAGCACUUUGGAGGGGAUGAGGAAGGACAGUACCCUUCGAAUAAGCUUCGGCU
RNAcentral lists this ribosomal RNA (450 nucleotides) under uncultured bacterium. RNAcentral describes it as "bacterial SSU rRNA". It matches the Rfam family "Bacterial small subunit ribosomal RNA", at positions 28 to 498 of the family's 1533-position model. The record is from RNAcentral.